UCCGGUUUGUCACCGGCAGUCUCACUAGAGUGCCCAACUAAAUGGUGGCAACUAAGUACGAGGGUUGCGCUCGUUGCGGGACUUAACCCAACACCUCACGACACGAGCUGACGACAGCCAUGCAGCACCUGUGCACACUGGUAUUGCUACCUCGUCACCCUUUCAGGCUUCUACUAUGUGCAUGUCAAGGCCAGGUAAGGUUCUUCGCGUUGCAUCGAAUUAAGCCACAUACUCCACCGCUUGUGCAGGCCCCCGUCAAUUUCUUUGAGUUUUAGCCUUGCGGCCGUACUCCCCAGGCGGGGCACUUAAUGCGUUAGCUGCGGCACGGGGGGAGUCGACACCCCCCACACCUAGUGCCCAUCGUUUACGGCGUGGACUAC
Molecule: unclassified non-coding RNA, 380 nt
Filed under: uncultured bacterium
Lineage: Bacteria
Description: contains 16S-23S intergenic spacer region
Source: RNAcentral